This 464-nucleotide ribosomal RNA is filed under the name uncultured bacterium. RNAcentral describes it as "bacterial SSU rRNA". It matches the Rfam family "Bacterial small subunit ribosomal RNA", at positions 330 to 792 of the family's 1533-position model. The record is from RNAcentral.
GCCAGACUCCUACGGGAGGCAGCAGUGAGGAAUAUUGGUCAAUGGCCGCAGGGCUGAACCAGCCAAGUCGCGUGAGGGAUGACGGUCCUAUGGAUUGUAAACCUCUUUUGUCAGGGAGCAAAGGGCGCCACGUGUGGCGUUUUGCGAGUACCUGAAGAAAAAGCAUCGGCUAACUCCGUGCCAGCAGCCGCGGUAAUACGGAGGAUGCGAGCGUUAUCCGGAUUUAUUGGGUUUAAAGGGUGCGUAGGCGGAGUGUCAAGUCAGCGGUAAAAUUUCGGGGCUCAACCCCGUCGUGCCGUUGAAACUGACGCCCUUGAGUGAGUGAGAAGUAAGCGGAAUGCGUGGUGUAGCGGUGAAAUGCAUAGAUAUCGCGCAGAACUCCGAUUGCGAAGGCAGCAUGCCGGCUCCACACUGACGCUGAGGCACGAAAGCGUGGGUAUCGAACAGGAUUAGAUACCCCAGUA